GAUACGCCUUAGGGUCCGUUAAGGGCCUGU
RNAcentral lists this small RNA (30 nucleotides) under Bombyx mori (domestic silkworm). Its description in RNAcentral is "ovarian small RNA-16070". Lineage: Eukaryota; Metazoa; Arthropoda; Insecta; Lepidoptera; Bombycidae. The record is from RNAcentral.